This 460-nucleotide ribosomal RNA is filed under the name uncultured bacterium. Its description in RNAcentral is "partial 16S ribosomal RNA". It matches the Rfam family "Bacterial small subunit ribosomal RNA", at positions 338 to 795 of the family's 1533-position model. The record is from RNAcentral.
CCUACGGGUGGCAGCAGUGAGGAAUAUUGGUCAAUGGACGAGAGUCUGAACCAGCCAAGUAGCGUGAAGGAUGACUGCCCUAUGGGUUGUAAACUUCUUUUAUAUGGGAAUAAAAUGUUCCAAGUGUGGGAUUUUGUAUGUACCAUAUGAAUAAGGAUCGGCUAACUCCGUGCCAGCAGCCGCGGUAAUACGGAGGCGCCGAGCGUUAUCCGGAUUUAUUGGGUUUAAAGGGAGCGUAGGUGGAUUGUUAAGUCAGUUGUGAAAGUUUGCGGCUCAACCGUAAAAUUGCAGUUGAAACUGGCAGUCUUGAGUACAGUAGAGGUGGGCGGAAUUCGUGGUGUAGCGGUGAAAUGCUUAGAUAUCGCGAAGAACUCCGAUUGCGAAGGCAGUUCACUGGACUGCAACUGACACUGAGGCUCGAAGGUGUGGGUAUCAAACGGGAUUAGAUACCCGUGUAGUC